RNAcentral lists this ribosomal RNA (546 nucleotides) under uncultured Glomeromycotina. Its description in RNAcentral is "SSU rRNA". It matches the Rfam family "Eukaryotic small subunit ribosomal RNA", at positions 548 to 1098 of the family's 1831-position model. Lineage: Eukaryota; Fungi; Glomeromycota. The record is from RNAcentral.
UUGGAGGGCAAGUCUGGUGCCAGCAGCCGCGGUAAUUCCAGCUCCAAUAGCGUAUAUUAAAGUUGUUGCAGUUAAAAAGCUCGUAGUUGAAUUUCGGGAUUAGUACGUUGGUCGUGCCUUCGGUACGUACUGGUGUUACUGAUUCCUACCUUCUGACGAACCAUCAUGUCAUUAAUUUGGUGUGGCGGGGAAUCAGGACUGUUACUUUGAAAAAAUUAGAGUGUUUAAAGCGGGCUCGCGCUUGAAUACAUUAGCAUGGAAUAAUGAAAUAGGACGUUGACCCUAUUUUGUUGGUUUCUAGGAUUGACGUAAUGAUUAAUAGGGAUAGUUGGGGGCAUUAGUAUUCAAUUGUCAGAGGUGAAAUUCUUGGAUUUAUUGAAGACUAACUACUGCGAAAGCAUUUGCCAAGGAUGUUUUCAUUAAUCAAGAACGAAAGUUAGGGGAUCGAAGACGAUCAGAUACCGUCGUAGUCUUAACCAUAAACUAUGCCGACUAGGGAUCGGAUGAUGUUAUUUUUAAUGACUCAUUCGGCGCCUUACGGGAAAC